UACAGAGGGUGCGAGCGUUGUCCGGAAUCACUGGGCGUAAAGAGCGCGCAGGCGGUCGUUCAAGUCGAGUGUGAAAGCCCCCGGCUCAACUGGGGAGGGUCAUUCGAUACUGAUCGACUCGAAGGCAGGAGAGGGAAGUGGAAUUCCCGGUGUAGUGGUGAAAUGCGUAGAUAUCGGGAGGAACACCAGUGGCGAAGGCGACUUCCUGGCCUGUUCUUGACGCUGAGGCGCGAAAGCUGGGGGAGCAAACGGG
RNAcentral lists this ribosomal RNA (253 nucleotides) under uncultured bacterium. RNAcentral's name for it is "partial 16S ribosomal RNA". It matches the Rfam family "Bacterial small subunit ribosomal RNA", at positions 524 to 776 of the family's 1533-position model. The record is from RNAcentral.